Molecule: long non-coding RNA, 456 nt
Filed under: Manihot esculenta (cassava)
Lineage: Eukaryota; Viridiplantae; Streptophyta; Magnoliopsida; Malpighiales; Euphorbiaceae
Description: long non-coding RNA (MESC_LNC005747)
Source: RNAcentral
AGAAAAAAAGCAUAAACCCUUUACCCACAACAUGUUUUAACAAUCAAUAAACUGAAAAUUAACUCUAAAAAAUUAAAAAAUAAAAGGAAAACAAAGCAUUAGCCCUAAAUGCAUGGAGAAGAAUAAUCAUUUUAUAAGUUCACACCAUUCAACUCGAACAAGAGAAACGCUACGGAUAUCUUGAUGUGCCUCCUCUAAGUGUUGCGCAAUUGAGCAGAAGAUGGAUCAAGAGGGAUUGAGACAAAAUGAAGAUUGUGCAGAUUGAAGAAGAAGACAAAGAUGAAGACGACGACGACGACAACAAGGGAAGAAACGAAAUCAAGAAGAUGACAAUGAUAAGGGGAGCAACGAAAUCAAGAAGAAGAAGAUUAGAAUCAAUAGAGGGUGCUGAAGACUCAUCCAGAAUGAGAAGAGAGGGGGAGAGAGGAAUGAGGAAAAUGGAAGCGGCUAAAACAG